UUUAACUUUAUUGUUUUCCCUCUUCUCUUGUGCUUCUUCUUCAUUCCUUUGUCUUGUAAGGGAGGUUGCUAGUUGGAAGGUUUUUGAAGCUUGGUUUUCAGCAGGGCUAUCUUUUCAACACUCUCUUUUCCAGCCAUCAUAGAUCGUUUUAGGGAGUGGUCUUGGAUCUCAUUUUGCACUUAGGCCAAUACCAGAUCAGGAGCAGUAGACCCAGGGAUCUUAGAAGACUUCUAGUAGAUGUCUUCUUUGGAGUUAUGUCUUAUGGCUUAUGUCUUUGUAUCAGUUGUAUCAUUGUUUAAGAACCUCCUUGUAGGUCAUGCUGUAUUUCAUUGCCUUGUAUUCGAGUUUGGUUGUAAACCUUAAGUUGUAUUCUUAUUUUCGUAUUUUGUCAGUUUAUUUUCUACUCCUAGUCUGUGUUUAGGUUUUGAGGCCUUGCAGGUUCACUGGGCCCCACCCUGUGGCUCUGCGGCCGUUGUCAGCGCACCAGGUUCGGGGCGUGACAAUAACAACUGAAUCAUAGAGAAAUAGAGAAAUAUUGGGGGUGUGUGUGUGUGUGUGUGUAUAUAUAUAUAAAGAUGGUCCAAAAGAGUACAAAAUUAGUUAUAUUAUUAAGGGAGUAAG
Molecule: long non-coding RNA, 621 nt
Organism: Dioscorea cayenensis subsp. rotundata (Guinea yam)
Lineage: Eukaryota; Viridiplantae; Streptophyta; Magnoliopsida; Dioscoreales; Dioscoreaceae
Exons: 3
Source: RefSeq, a predicted model, not a curated record